Non-coding RNA from Lentinula aciculospora, 91 nucleotides. The record is from the annotation of a GenBank genome assembly. NCBI's taxonomy places the organism in Eukaryota, Fungi, Basidiomycota, Agaricomycetes, Agaricales, Omphalotaceae.
GGUCGACUAGCUCAGCUGGUUAGAGCGUGGUGCUAAUACAAGGUUGUUGCCCUUGACGCCAAGGUCUUGGGUUCGAUCCCCACGUUGACCA